CUGUUAAGCCAGCCUUGUCUCCUAUGUCCAGAGAGGCUCUGUUGUAGCCACUGAGACACAAAGUCCUCAGUAGUUUGGUUUCUGUUUCUGCAACAGGCGUUAGCAAUCAAAUUGACUACAGAGCAUCGUGGGGAAUGGCCGGAGACCACUCAUGUGGCUGACAUAGGAAAGCUUCCGGAUGAGUCAGUGUGUGGACAGAGUAGAACAUUCACGUUAGGAGCUGUGACGUCUUUGCUGCCUCCUCCCUGCAGUCAAGGCUGUAAACUCGGUGCAAUUCCCAGGAACAGUGUCUUGUCCAGUCUUUCAUGUCCUGUGGAAAAGCUACAAGGAGGUGGGGUAAGGGCCUCUGGGGCCAAGAGCGGGAAAGUGAGCUUCAAGGCCCAUGGCAGCGCCCAUUAAGACCUCAGCAC
Long non-coding RNA from Alexandromys fortis (reed vole), 410 nucleotides. RefSeq lists it as uncharacterized. The transcript has 3 exons. Lineage: Eukaryota; Metazoa; Chordata; Mammalia; Rodentia; Cricetidae. The record is from RefSeq and is a predicted model, not a curated record.